GUCUCUGUGGCCUAGAGGUAAGGUCCACGGCGAACUCUGCAUGAGACAGUUCUAUGUGCUGUAGCGCGGGUUCGACUCCCGCCGGAGACA
This is a non-coding RNA of Mycena crocata, 90 nucleotides long. NCBI's taxonomy places the organism in Eukaryota, Fungi, Basidiomycota, Agaricomycetes, Agaricales, Mycenaceae. The record is from the annotation of a GenBank genome assembly.